Molecule: ribosomal RNA, 491 nt
Filed under: uncultured bacterium
Lineage: Bacteria
Description: bacterial SSU rRNA
Rfam family: Bacterial small subunit ribosomal RNA
Source: RNAcentral
GAUGAACGCUAGCUACAGGCUUAACACAUGCAAGUCGAGGGAAACGAUAGAGAAAGCUUGCUUUUUCUAGGCGUCGACCGGCGCACGGGUGAGUAACGCGUAUCCAACCUGCCCACCACUUGGGGAUAACCUUGCGAAAGUAAGACUAAUACCCAAUGACGUCUCUAGAAGACAUCUGAAAGGGAUUAAAGAUUUAUCGGUGAUGGAUGGGGAUGCGUCUGAUUAGCUUGUUGGCGGGGUAACGGCCCACCAAGGCAACGAUCAGUAGGGGUUCUGAGAGGAAGGUCCCCCCACAUUGGAACUGAGACACGGUCCAAACUCCUACGGGAGGCAGCAGUGAGGAAUAUUGGCAAUGGGCGAGAGCCUGAACCAGCCAAGUAGCGUGCAGGAUGACGGCCCUAUGGGUUGUAAACUGCUUUUAUAAGGGAAUAAAGUGAGCCUCGUGAGGCUUUUUGCAUGUACCUUAUGAAUAAGGACCGGCUAAUUCCGUG